Molecule: ribosomal RNA, 2928 nt
Filed under: Gammaproteobacteria bacterium
Lineage: Bacteria; Pseudomonadati; Pseudomonadota; Gammaproteobacteria
Description: 23S ribosomal RNA
Rfam family: Bacterial large subunit ribosomal RNA
Source: RNAcentral
AGUUAAGAAACUAAGUGCAUACGGUGGAUGCCUAGGCAGCAGAAGGCGAUGAAGGACGUAAUAGCUUGCGAUAAGCCUCGGGGAGUUGGCAAAUAAACUUUGAUCCGGGGAUUUCCGAAUGGGGCAACCCACUUACAUUUGUAAGUAUUAAUAAUUGAAUACAUAGGUUAUUAAGGCAAACCUGGGGAACUGAAACAUCUAAGUACCCAGAGGAAAAGAAAUCAAACAGAGAUUCCGUUAGUAGCGGCGAGCGAAUGCGGAACAGCCCAGUCAUCAAAUCAUUAAGUAUGUUAGUGGAAGUAGCUGGAAAGCUACGCAACAAUGGGUGAUAGCCCCGUACACGAAAACAUGCUUAUUGUGGGUGACGAAGAGUAGGUCGGAACACGUGUUAUUUUGACUGAAUAUGGGGGGCCCAUCCUCCAAGGCUAAAUACUCUCUGCUGACCGAUAGUGAACCAGUACCGUGAGGGAAAGGCGAAAAGAACCCCUGUGAGGGGAGUGAAAUAGAUCCUGAAACCGUAUGCAUACAAGCUGUGGGAGCACGUUGAUUAAUUCAUGUGUGACCGCGUACCUUUUGUAUAAUGGGUCAGCGACUUACUUGCAGUGGCAAGCUUAACCUAAUGGGGGAGGCGAAGGGAAACCGAGUCUGAUAAGGGCGCCAAGUCUCUGUAAGUAGACCCGAAACCGGGCGAUCUAUCCAUGGCCAGGAUGAAGGUUGGGUAAAACCAAUUGGAGGUCCGAACCCACUGAUGUUGAAAAAUCACGGGAUGAGCUGUGGAUCGGAGUGAAAGGCUAAUCAAGCCCGGAGAUAGCUGGUUCUUCUCGAAAACUAUUGAGGUAGUGCCUCAUGUAUCACACUUGGGGGUAGAGCACUGUUUCGGCUAGGGGGCUGUCAUGGCUUACCAAACCGAUGCAAACUCCGAAUACCAAGUUGUGCAAGCAUGGGAGACACACGGCGGGUGAUAACGUCCGUCGUGGAGAGGGAAACAACCCAGACCGCCAGCUAAGGUCCCUAAAUGACAGUUAAGUGGAAAACGAGGUGGGAUAACUUAAACAGCCAGGAGGUUGGCUUAGAAGCAGCCAUCCUUUAAAGAUAGCGUAAUAGCUCACUGGUCGAGUCGUCCUGCGCGGAAGAUGUAACGGGGCUAAACUGUCUACCGAAGCUGCGGAAUCAAAACUUUGUUUUGAUUGGUAGAGAAGCGUUCUGUAAGCCGUUGAAGCUUGACCGAGAGGACAGGUGGAGGUAUCAGAAGUGAGAAUGCUGACAUGAGUAACGAUAAUGCGAGUGAAAAACUCGCACGCCGAAAGUCUAAGGUUUCCUUGCGCCAUGCUAAUCAGCGCAGGGUGAGUCGGCCCCUAAGGUGAGGCAGAAAUGCGUAAUCGAUGGGAAACAGGUUAAUAUUCCUGUACUUUAAAUGAUUUGUGAUGGGAGGACGGAGAAAGCUAAGUCAGCCAGGUGAUGGUUGUCCUGGUUUAAGCAUGUAGGUGCAGUGCUAUGGAAAAUCCGAGCGCUGAUAUCGCUGAGAUGUGAUGACGACCUCCGCGUAAGCUUGCUUGCAACGAGGGAAGUGGCUGAUGCUAUGCUUCCAAGAAAAGUCUCUAAGCUUAUAAUCAUUUAAAACCGUACCGUAAACCGACACAGGUGGACAGGUAGAGAAUACUAAGGCGCUUGAGAGAACUCGGGUGAAGGAACUCGGCAAAAUGACACCGUAACUUCGGGAGAAGGUGUGCCCUGGUUGGUGAUAAGCCUCGCGCUUUGAGCUGACCAGGGUCGAAGAUACCAGGUGGCUGAGACUGUUUAUUAAAAACACAGCACUCUGCAAACUCGAAAGAGGACGUAUAGGGUGUGACGCCUGCCCGGUGCCGGAAGGUUAAUUGAUGUGGUUAGUUCUUCGGAGCGAAGCUGUUGAUCGAAGCCCCGGUAAACGGCGGCCGUAACUAUAACGGUCCUAAGGUAGCGAAAUUCCUUGUCGGGUAAGUUCCGACCUGCACGAAUGGCGUAACAAUGGCCACGCUGUCUCCACCCGAGACUCAGUGAAAUUGAAUUUGCUGUGAAGAUGCAGUGUACCCGCAGCUAGACGGAAAGACCCCGUGCACCUUUACUACAGCUUUACACUGAUAUUUGAAUAAAUAUGUGCAGGAUAGGUGGGAGGCUUUGAUGCGAUCUCGUCAGGGAUCGUUGAGCCACCCUUGAAAUACCACCCUUAUUUAUUUAACUAUCUAACCUAGAUCCGUCAUCCGGAUCGGAGACAGUGUAUGGUGGGUAGUUUGACUGGGGCGGUCUCCUCCUAAAGAGUAACGGAGGAGUACAAAGGUACUCUCAGCGCGGUCGGAAAUCGCGCAUUGUGUAUAAAGGCAUAAGAGUGCUUGACUGCGAGACUGACAGGUCGAGCAGGUACGAAAGUAGGUCUUAGUGAUCCGGUGGUCCCGAAUGGAAGGGCCAUCGCUCAACGGAUAAAAGGUACGCCGGGGAUAACAGGCUGAUACUGCCCAAGAGCUCAUAUCGACGGCAGUGUUUGGCACCUCGAUGUCGGCUCAUCACAUCCUGGGGCUGCAGCAGGUCCCAAGGGUAUGGCUGUUCGCCAUUUAAAGUGGUACGUGAGCUGGGUUUAGAACGUCGUGAGACAGUUCGGAUCCUAUCUACUGUGGGUGUUGGAAAUUUGAGAGGAGCUGCUCCUAGUACGAGAGGACCGGAGUGGACGUACCGAUGGUGUUCCGGUUGUCACGCCAGUGGCAUCGCCGGGUAGCUAAGUACGGAACGGAUAACCGCUGAAAGCAUAUAAGCGGGAAGCCAACCUCAAAACGAGAUUUCCCUUCUAGUAAUGCUAGACUAAAGGUCCGUUGAAGACGACAACGUUGAUAGGCUGGGUGUGGAAGUACAGUAAUGUAUGGAGCUAACCAGUACUAAUUGACCGUGAGACUUAACUUG